AAAAAAUUGCACAUUUAUUCAAUUGGCAGCUUUUCUUGUUACUAUCAAUUCUGAAAGUCGUCCCAGGAACGAGAUUAAAAUGUUAUGAACACCCAUUGACAGCCAAGCAACUUGUAUUAGACGAAACAAGAGUACAUACUCAUCAAAUCGUUUGUUCUUUAGGAACGUCAAACGAGCAGAACAACAUUAUUUUGAAAGCCUCGAAUGGAGCUCAGGAAGGAGUCGCAAUCGAUGUAACCUGUGCUAGUAUGGUCAUGUCUGAUGUUUAAUUUAAACAUGCUGGAUCGUUCGCGAAGGGCAAUGUGAAGACUGCCCUUUGCUAAAAACACCGCUGUCAAAGAAGCCGGCAGUUAUGGACCUGAAAUGCACUAUCGUUUCUGAACCGGAAGUCCCUCCUACAACCGGACCACUGGAUUACAGCUGGGCUAGAUUCGAGCCAUCAGACGAAAGCUUUUUUGGGAACAUGCUGACCAAUUUUGUAUGGUAGAAGUGACUGCUGAAAAGAGACACCUGGAUGUUACAGCAUAUAAUAAAAUGAUUGUUUCCAUUUCGGUAUUGUAAAUAGUGUGACUUUAGUUUCAUGUGAGUGUGUGUGUA
Long non-coding RNA from Belonocnema kinseyi, 597 nucleotides. RefSeq lists it as uncharacterized. The record is from RefSeq and is a predicted model, not a curated record. The transcript is spliced from 4 exons. NCBI's taxonomy places the organism in Eukaryota, Metazoa, Arthropoda, Insecta, Hymenoptera, Cynipidae.